Molecule: non-coding RNA, 72 nt
Organism: Podarcis lilfordi (Lilford's wall lizard)
Lineage: Eukaryota; Metazoa; Chordata; Lepidosauria; Squamata; Lacertidae
Source: the annotation of a GenBank genome assembly
GCCAGGAUAGCUCAGUGAUAGAGCAUGAGACACUUAAGCUCAGAGUUGUGGAUUCGAGCCCCACUUUGGGCA